RNAcentral lists this long non-coding RNA (1533 nucleotides) under Manihot esculenta (cassava). Its description in RNAcentral is "long non-coding RNA (MESC_LNC011157)". Lineage: Eukaryota; Viridiplantae; Streptophyta; Magnoliopsida; Malpighiales; Euphorbiaceae. The record is from RNAcentral.
GAAGGUUAUGUUCGGCCCCCGAAGGUUGCAUAGUUUUGCAUGCGAUUCGGCAGCCGAACCUGAGGCGGUUGUUCAUCUAUAAGGGCACCGAGUGGCAGAAAAAGGAGGAGGUUUCUUCUCUCCUUCUGACCUAGGUGAGGUCUUGAUCUCCUUAAAGUAUUUUCAUGGUUUUUCUUCAAAUCUUUCACGGUUGUAAUGAGUUUUACCCUUGUUUUGAAGAGUUGUGAGCUUUAAACAAGGUUUUGGAGUUUGAAGCUUUUGAAGCUUGGUUUCUCCAUAUCUUUGAGUUUGGAUCAUCUCAGCCUUUGUUCUUCAAGAGGUAAGUGUUGAUCCAUGGUUCUUAUGAUGUUUUUAUGAGUUUUGUAAAGGGAAAAGGGAGCUAGGCAUGAGUUUGCAUGAGAUGUGCAUCAUAGGGUUUAUAAAUCCUUUAUGUUUGCUGUGUGUCUUGUGAGCUUGUUUGUUGGAGUUUAAAGUUAUGUGAAGCUCCCUUAGGCUUGUUGAAGUGUUUAUGCAUGUUUUAGAAGGGUUAAAUGCAUGUGUUGAGGUCUGAACAGGUGAUGGAGGGACUGACAGGCGUCCUUGUGCACGAAACUGAGUUCUGGCUAACUUGUGCACGAAACUGAGUUCUGGCUAAACUCAGGUUCGGCCCCCGAAAGUCCAAGUUAGGCCGCCGAACAUGCCUGACUUUCGUCUCUGGAGGAGACAUUCGGCCGCCGAAAGUGCUGCCGAAGGUGCCCUGUCCAGCCUUCCUUUGCUUGUUUUGCAUGCAUGUUUUGUGAUGUUUUAGAGGGUUUUUGGAGAGAUGUUCAUAGUUAUGUUAGAGUAUGUUUGGUACCUCAUUUGAGUCCUCCACUGUAGGAUUGGACCCGAGGAACCAAGGUGUUUAGCAGUAGUAGCUGUUUCAGAGGUAGAGGUAGCCCAGAGGUAGCCAAGUAGAGGCUAUAGGUGAGUGGAACUAACUGUACUAUUUACAUUCAGAAAUGACACGAAUCUAGCAUGAUCCAUGCAUCAUAAAAUGCCAUGUUAUGUAUUAGGUUGUAUUGCAUUAGAUUCCACGAAUAUGCUGCAUUGCAUAAGCUGAUAUUUGUGUGGAUGAAUGUUGGAUGAUCCUUAGCCCUUGAUAGAGCACAGAUACAGAGUUGUGGCAUGAGAUAGCCAUACCAGGUCGCCCCUGGUUAGUCCAGGUCGCUCCUGGUACUAUGAGUGAGACAGCUGGGCUGUCAGAUCAGAGCUCAGAGCAGUCCAAUCUAGCAUGAUCCAUGCAUCAUAAAAUGCCAUGUUAUGUAUUAGGUUGUAUUGCAUUAGAUUCCACGAAUAUGCUGCAUUGCAUAAGCUGAUAUUUGUGUGGAUGAAUGUUGGAUGAUCCUUAGCCCUUGAUAGAGCACAGAUACAGAGUUGUGGCAUGAGAUAGCCAUACCAGGUCGCCCCUAGUUAGUCCAGGUCGCUCCUGGUACUAUGAGUGAGACAGCUGGGCUGUCAGAUCAGAGCUCAGAGCAGUCCAGGUGAGGCCUAAUCGCCCCUGGCACAGUUGGA